CUUUUAAUCUGAGGGUCCAGGGUUCAAGUCCCUGUUUGGGUGUUGUAGUACCCUCCAAAUCUUCUGAGAGGACCAGUGAAUCCAUCUAAGGUGCCUCUUUCAAGCAUGUUUUGUUCAACAAGCAAAAUGGGCAAACUAAGGAAACAUUCAGCAGGUUGUCAAGUUACUAAUGGUUACUAGGUGAGAGUGUUGCUAUCUAAGCUUUGUUACCUUUUAGCAUGAAGUUGACAAAGACAUGGGUGGUCAUCAUAGAGAUUGGAGUCCAUAUAACAGCAUCCUUAUUAGACUGCGCAGAAAAUCAUGGGUCUGUGUGAAAAAGAGCACAUUGAAUGACCCCGACAUGAUUUGAACCUUCUGAUCUGGAGUCAGGCGCACUUCCGUUGCGCCACGAGGUCCCAGCUCGAAGCCUAUAGCGCAUCAUGGUGCAAGGCAUACUUGUUCAUCGGCGUGGCGAUCAAGACGCAUUGGAACUCGGAGACAGGUGGUGGGCUGUGACUGUUGCGACUAGUGUCUGACAUCUGGGCAAGAGCUCUUUCAGAGGACAAGGCACGAGCCCUUUAAAGGCAUAACCUGGCUGGUUUCCCUUCCCUGGACAUUAAGGGAGAUUUUCAAGAUCAAAUGGUAGAUCUCACCCCAGUGCAUUGAAUGACCCCGACGUGAUUUGAACACGCAACCUUCUGAUCUGGAGUCAGACACGCUACCGUUACUCGCUCGCUCUAUCUAUUUAAUAUAUAUAUAUAUAUAUAUAUACAUACACACAAACACACUAUGAAUAAAUAUUAAAGUAAAUAAAAAGAUGUACAGUAUUUCACAAUAAAGUGAGAACUCCCCUCACAUUUUUGUAAAUAUUUGAUAUCUUUUCAUGUUACAACACUGAAGAAAUGACACUGUGCUACAACGUAAAGUAGUGAGUGUACAGCUUGUGUAACAGUGUAAAUUUGCUGUCCCCUCAAAAUAACUCAACACACAUUAAUGUCUAAACCGCUGGCAACAAAAGUGAGUACACCCCCAAGUAAAAAUGUCCAAAUCGGGCCCAAUUAGCCAUUUUCCCUCCCCGGUGUCAUGUGACUUGUUACUGUUACAAGGUCUCAGGUGUGAAUGGGGAGCAGGUGUGUAAAAUUUGGUGUCAUCACUCUCACACUCCCUCAUACUGGUCACUGGAAGUUCGACAUGGCACCUCAAGGCAAAGAACUCUCUGAGGAUGUGAAAAAAAUAAUUCUUGCUCUACAUGAAAAUGGCCUAGGCUUUAAGAAGAUUACCAAGACCCUGACACUGAGCUGCAGCACGAUGGCCAAGAACAUACAGCGGUUUAACAGGACAGGUUCCACUCAGAACAGGCCUCGCCAUGGUCGACCAAAGAAGAAGUUGAGUGCACGUGCUCAGCGUCAUAUCCAGAGGUUGUCUUUGGGAAAUAGUGCUGCCAGCAUUGCUGCAAAGGUUGAAGGGGUGGGGGGUCAGCCUGGGCUUUGGAC
Molecule: long non-coding RNA, 1472 nt
Organism: Ictalurus punctatus (channel catfish)
Lineage: Eukaryota; Metazoa; Chordata; Actinopteri; Siluriformes; Ictaluridae
Source: Ensembl